CAGCACUUUGAAUGACAAUUUACUAAAAUUGGAAUGACACAGAGAAGAUUAGCAUGACCCCCGCACAAGGAUGACAUGCAAAUUCACGAAGUAUUCUAUACUUUA
Molecule: small nuclear RNA, 105 nt
Organism: Cebus imitator (Panamanian white-faced capuchin)
Lineage: Eukaryota; Metazoa; Chordata; Mammalia; Primates; Cebidae
Source: RefSeq, a predicted model, not a curated record